GGGCGGGCGGACGCGGCGGCGGGCGAGAGGUGCCGUGCCAUCCCCGGCAGGAGAGAAGCUGGACUGGACCCAAAUGUUCCUGAAAUGCGAGAGAGAGCAUUCACAUCUGUCUGGAAUAAAAAUUGGAAUUUUGAGGGCAGCCCUGUUGGACGGCAGAUUGCAGCAAGAGGGAGGAAGACGGUGAUAGGCUUUCAAUGGGGGGCCUGGAAAGAAAGAAAAAAAAGAAGAAGGAAGAAAUGAAACCAUUCCCCGGCA
Molecule: long non-coding RNA, 255 nt
Organism: Protobothrops mucrosquamatus (brown spotted pit viper)
Lineage: Eukaryota; Metazoa; Chordata; Lepidosauria; Squamata; Viperidae
Exons: 3
Source: RefSeq, a predicted model, not a curated record